GUGCCAGCAGCCGCGGUAAUACGAAGGGACCUAGCGUAGUUCGGAAUUACUGGGCUUAAAGAGUUCGUAGGUGGUUGAAAAAGUUAGUGGUGAAAUCCCAGAGCUUAACUCUGGAACUGCCAUUAAAACUUUUCAGCUAGAGUAUGAUAGAGGAAAGCAGAAUUUCUAGUGUAGAGGUGAAAUUCGUAGAUAUUAGAAAGAAUACCAAUUGCGAAGGCAGCUUUCUGGAUCAUUACUGACACUGAGGAACGAAAGCAUGGGUAGCGAAGAGGAUUAGAUACCCUCGUAGUCCAUGCCGUAAACGAUGUGUGUUAGACGUUGGAAAUUUAUUUUCAGUGUCGCAGGGAAACCGAUAAACACACCGCCUGGGGAGUACGACCGCAAGGUUAAAACUCAAAUGAAUUGACGGGGACCCGCACAAGUAGUGGAGCAUGUGGUUUAAUUCGAAGAUACGCGCAGAACCUUACCAACACUUGACAUGUUCGUCGCGACUCUAAGAGAUUAGAGUUUUCGGUUCGGCCGGACGAAACACAGGUGCUGCAUGGCUGUCGUCAGCUCGUGUCGUGAGAUGUUGGGUUAAGUCCCGCAACGAGCGCAACCCUCACUUUUAGUUGCCAUCAUUAAGUUGGGCACUCUGAAAGAACUGCCAGUGAUAAGCUGGAGGAAGGUGGGGAUGACGUCAAGUCCUCAUGGCCCUUACGUGUUGGGCUACACACGUGCUACAAUGGUAUCUACAACAGGAAGCAAGACUGCGAAGUUAAGCAAAUCCCUAAAAGAUACCUCAGUUCGGAUUGCACUCUGCAACUCGAGUGCAUGAAGCUGGAAUUACUAGUAAUCGUGGAUCAGCGUGCCACGGUGAAUGCGUUCCCGGGUCUUGUACACACCGCCCGUCACACCAUGGGA
This 903-nucleotide ribosomal RNA is filed under the name marine metagenome. RNAcentral describes it as "bacterial SSU rRNA". It matches the Rfam family "Bacterial small subunit ribosomal RNA", at positions 505 to 1409 of the family's 1533-position model. The record is from RNAcentral.